This is a long non-coding RNA of Ostrinia nubilalis (European corn borer), 567 nucleotides long. RefSeq lists it as uncharacterized. NCBI's taxonomy places the organism in Eukaryota, Metazoa, Arthropoda, Insecta, Lepidoptera, Crambidae. The record is from RefSeq and is a predicted model, not a curated record. The transcript is spliced from 3 exons.
UUUUGUGAUGUCAUGUUGGUGAGCAUGUUAACGUAUCCAACUUCACACUCUAUGAAUGGAUGAAUGAAAGAACGAAUGCCGCUCCUUUCUAACUAUAUAGAAAAGAUAGAGUAGGAAAUAACAAAAAUGUCAAAAAUAACACUGCAAAAUUUAAGUGUCCUAGAACAGUGCUUAAAGCUGAAUUAACAUGAUGAUUUUAAAUUUGUAUUGUUUAUUUCUUGUCAUUGCGACUUUGACGCAGCUGUUGUCAUGACAACAGAUAACAAAACAUGUUUUGUUGAAGGAUUAUUGAUGAAUAAUUUUCCACAAAAAAUUGGAUUUUAACCACGAUAGGAAAAUGAGAACCUGCGCCUAUCCGUUUAAACCGAUUGUAGAAUUUAUGGAAAGAUAUGGCGAUCUGAGUAUGCCCACUGAAGGGCCCCAAGAAAGAGCCAACAAUAAGUCAACGGUGGGUGGAACUAACGGACACGCGAACGUGAAAUGCUGAUGCCACCGGCGACACGAAAACUACUGAGAAAUUGAGAAAAGUGUGGAGUGACUUUAAACAGCAAGAAGAAGGGAACUCGC